UAAUGUGGACGUGCUGUUGAGUUGAGUCUCUUUACCUCUAGGGCAACAUGGCAGGAGCAAUGAGUGUCACUAAAUGUAUAUCAUUUGUUUUGGUAGCCGUCGCUCUAGGGUCCACUGCAACGAAGGCAACCACCAAGAAUACCCCAACAUUGUCUGUCACCACCACAGUGGUCCCUGCCUCGCCAGCCAGUAGAACAAGUACCUCAGUCAGUGAAGCACCUAAUACAGAUCCUACUAGUAGCACUAGAGUCCCAUUGGAAUCAUCCCCUUCAUCACCUACAACUGAGCCUUCCCAAUCCUCUCAGCCACUGACUCCAUCAGAAGCAUACAAUGGCAGCACCACCAUACAGACCUCUAGAGGUUUUACAGCUGACAGUACUAUGAAUCAGACCCUAACUGGAACAACUGGUCAUGACUCAACAUCCUCAAUCUUCUCAUCAACUUUGUCGCCAAACUCUGAUUUUACAACAGGGAACAUGAGCUCAAGCACAGCUUUACAAAGUGAUGGGAGACAUGUUUUAUCAAGGAGUCCGGGCCUCGUAGCAGUCCUCUGCAUAUUCUGCAUCUGUCUGGGUCUUAUGCUGGCUGUUGGAAUUGCAAAGCUCAUUACUUCCAGAGGUUCAACAUUUCAGAGGCUUGAAGACGUGCCAUUGGGCAAGAUAAAUGAAGAGUCUCCAUUUGCCCGUUACCCUACAAAACAAUUCUGAAAGAUAACACAUUAUGAGAGAAAGUCUUCUAUUUGUGGUUCAGAAAAUGUUGUUUAUGAUGAUGUGUCACACACCAUCGUGUUUUUUCCUGUUUUUGUUUGUUUGUUUAUUUUUGUCUGGCUGCUGGAAAGUGACGUGUGUUUGAAAGAAGUCAGUAUAGGCCCUAAAAGCAACCCUGUGAUGUGGUACAGAAUAUCUACUAUGAGGUUGGUCAGCAGCAUAUAUAUACACUGCUCAAAAAAAUAAAGGGAACACUUAAACAACACA
Molecule: long non-coding RNA, 974 nt
Organism: Coregonus clupeaformis (lake whitefish)
Lineage: Eukaryota; Metazoa; Chordata; Actinopteri; Salmoniformes; Salmonidae
Exons: 4
Source: RefSeq, a predicted model, not a curated record